RNAcentral lists this long non-coding RNA (8612 nucleotides) under Pelobates cultripes (western spadefoot toad). Lineage: Eukaryota; Metazoa; Chordata; Amphibia; Anura; Pelobatidae. The record is from RNAcentral.
UAGGUGCCCUAAACCUAGGCAAUUGUCCAGCUAACCGUUUCAUUCCAAUCUAUCUUGUUGUUGCCGGAGCCUUCAGCCUUGGUUAUUGGAUUUUGUUUCCUCUACAAUUCUGCUUACCUACCCUAAGGAAAAUCCUGGCUGUCCUUUUUGCUCUUUUUUGGUUUGCCUGGUUCAUUGCAGGUAAGAGCAACACAAUAAAUAUGUUGUAUAUUGUUACCAACAUGGAUAUUACAUGUACAGAUCUGAGAUAUAGUGGUAUGUGCACAUCACUCUCUGGCUUGUGCUACCAAAUGAAAAAGACGACUAUUUGUGAUGAGUUAUGGUCGGCAAAGAUCAUAACAAAAUAUAUACAAUAACCAUGUAAUUUCGAACUACCUUUGUAUCAUGUUAUUUGACCAGAUAAUCAAUGUUCCAUGCAGAAAUANNNNNNNNNNNNNNNNNNNNNNNNNNNNNNNNNNNNNNNNNNNNNNNNNNNNNNNNNNNNNNNNNNNNNNNNNNNNNNNNNNNNNNNNNNNNNNNNNNNNAAGGCACACUCACUCUAUAUAUACUACUUUCUACAUACACGCAACUACAUUACUUAUUUGUCAUUAGUGAUGCAUUUGGCUUUUGGGCUUUCCUAGACUCAGCUGAGUUUAUAUGUAUAUAUAUAUAUAUAUAUAUAUAUAUAUAUAUAUAUAUAUAUUUGCACACACAUGUAUGUAUAUUAAUGUAUAGAAUGUAUGUGCAUAUUUACAUUUGUGAAGAUAGGAUGUGUAUGUAAUAUAUAUCUCAUAAGAGAUGACAUUAGGUUGCUAGAGUAGGACCUGCCAAAAAUGAGGUAUUUUGGCGCUGUGGCAGGCUUAUGCAAUGUACGAACAUAUACUGUAACUAAAUCCCCAUUAAUUUUGCCCGUCGGAUGAUUUAAGAAAUGUAUUGCAUUUUGUGAACUUUGAAGAUGGUGUUUAGUGAGUGAGUGCACCAGAUCUUGUGUGUUGUGUACAUGUAGAUCUAGCCCACAUUCUAAAAUGCAACAUUCACAACUAUCACUUUAUAUGGCUGCUUGCUUACUGAUUUUAAUGUAUAUUUACAUACUGCUUGCAUAUCUUGAUUUCAAUACAUAUGUCAAUACAUUUGUUUUAGCUUUCGUGUUGCUUUUAAUAUUAAUACAAGUCAGGUUUUCAAUGUUUUAGCUACUCAUUUCUAUAAAGCAGUUUUAUAUCCAUGUACUUACCUGUAGUAUAUGUCAAUGUAGGAAAAGCAUGAUGUAUGUGCUUUGUAAACCACUCUACAAAUAAUACAAUGUAAUUCAGAAAAGUUCAUGCUUUGACCAUAUUCCACGAGAAGCUCUAUUAUUACACAGUAAUAAUUUGUGUUGGAAAAAAAUGUAUGUAACCAUCUGUAAUAAAUACUUGUGAUUCAGUUAGGUUUGCUAAAAUCUCAUCCCAUAAAGAAACCAAAAGUUUUGUAAGUGUGACAUUCUCUUAAUUUAUUAUUUUAUUUGAUACAAGGAAACCAUUCCUUUUACCCAGGAGAGGUAUUGAAUGACCAAUACUAGUGAAAUGUAGAUUUUUUUUUUUUAAAGUCUAGUCAGAGGCUCUUGUAGUUCAGAUCUAAUAAAGCGGUUGGGGCCUGCUGCUCUUUCCUUGAUGGCAACUCCGACAUAACAGUCACUUGAGUGGUUAGUAAAAUCUCAGUUAAAGAGAAGCCAAGAUACUAAUAACAGAUUUUUUUUUUCAUGCGAGCUACUAAUUUGUGAAAAUGUUCUUUUCAAGUUUAAAUUUUUUUAACAGGAAUAUCUUUCAAAUUUUACAGGAAGCGUGUGGGUGUUUAGAGCAUACCGCCCACCAGCAACGGGCGUAUGCAACAUUGGCAUGUACCUCUUUGCUUUCUCAAUCCUGAUCAUACAAUAUAUAUUGAUUGGACUCGGAAUAAUUUCUGGUCUAAUUACCUGCUGCUGCUCUUCAGUCUUGGUAAGUUUUUUUUUACUUUAUUGUAUCUUUUCAUACUGUUCUUGUACUACAUAUACCUAAAGCAAACUUGAAUAGCCACUUCCUAUAACCCAUGAGUCAAAACCCCUUAAUUGUGGUUUUCUAAUCGGGGCUACCAUCACAGGGUUUGUGCAAUAUAGUGGCAGUUGGGUGGCAGAUGUCAACAUUAUUCUAAGAAUUGGCUAUUGGGGUCACUAUAGUCACCAAAAUAACUUUAGCUUAAUGAAGCAGUUUUGGUGUGUAGACCAUGUCCCUGUAGUCUUACUGCUCAAUUCUCUGUCAUUUAGGAGUUAAAGCACAAUGUUUAUGCAGCCCUAGGCACACCUCCCUGUAUGUGACUUACACAGCCAUGCUAAACACUUCCUGUAAAGAGUCGUCUAAUGUUUACACUUCCAUUAUUGAAAAUUCUGUUUUAAUUUAGAAUUUCGUAUCUCCUGCUCUGUUAAUAGCUUGCUAGACACUGCAGGAGUCUCCUCUGUGUGAUUAAAGUUCAAUUUAUAGAGCAGGAGAUAAAAACUUUUAAAGUAAGUUACAUGUGAUUGAAAACUAAACCAUUUUGUUUUCAUGCAGGUUGUGUGAGUCACAGCCAGGGUAGGUGUGGAUAGGGCUGCUAUUAAACUCCUAAAUGGCAGAGAAUUGAGCAGUGAAACUUCAGAGGCAUGAUCUAUACACCAAAACGGCUUCAUUAAGCUAAAGUUGUUAUGGUGACUAUAGUGUCCCUUUAAUAAGAACGUUUUAUUGUCAUUUUGAAGUUGAGAUAGUGUUUUUUUUUUUUUUUCUUUUACUGGAUAUCAUGAGCAAGGGAUCUUGUUAUUGUAACAAUUUUCACUACUGUAACUAUUUAUGCACAAUGUGUUCCCUUGUGGUAUAUAAUUCUCUUUAAGCAGUAUGCAUUCAGAGAAGCCUGCUAGUUAGGAAAUUAUAAACGUAUCUAUCUAUUAUCUAUAUAUAGUGAGUGAACAACUGCACACACAAACCCAGCAGAGGGGUUUGCCUUUUUCAAGUUAUUAACACAAACUCAUACUCCUUGGUUAAGUAUUCAGGCUUUCUAAACAUAUGUUAUGGAGAGCAAAAAACGGGUCGCAAGAGUAUUCUGAGAACGGACAGCAGCUAAAAUCGCCUGCCCUUCGGUGGGUCCCCACUCAGAACUCAAGCUGGUUUUAGCUCAUCUUGUGCCAUUACAAAGAGAACAUAUCUGAAGCAUAUCAGACUGGUCCCACCCAUACGGGCAGUCCAGAUCCAAAAUGCCAGCAAGUUCUCUCUGCACGAGAGAUACAGCAACCCCAGACGAUCGUUUCAGCCUUGUUGGGCAUAGUCAGUGAGGCAUAGCUGAUAUCUCUCUAGGCACCAUGAGCAAGGGGUCCACGUCUGGAUUACCCUUUAAACUAAUGGAGGGCAAAAAAUGGGUCGCAAGAGUAUUCUGAGAACGGACAGCAGCUAAAAUAGCCUGCCCUUCGGUGAGUCCCCGCCCUUGCUCACGGUGCCUAGAGAGAUAUCAGCUAUGCCUCACUGAUGAUGCCUAACAAGGCUGAAACGAUCGUUUGGGGUUGCUUUGUCUCUCGUGCAGAGAGAACUUGCUGGCAUUUUGGAUCUGGACUGCCCAUAUGGGUGGGACCAGUCAGAUAUGCUUCAGAUAUGUUCUCUCUGUAAUGGCUCAAGAUGAGCUAAAACCAGCUUGAGUUCCGAGCGGGGACCCACCGAAGGGCAGGCUAUUUAAGCUGCUGUCCGUUCUUGGAAUACUCUUGCAACCUGUUUUUUUGCUUUUCUAAACAUAUGUUAUACAGCACCACAGAUAUAAAGAUACACAGUGCAUAAUGCUCUCUGUAAAAGCCUAUAUUAAAAUAAAUUAAAACAAAAUACAAACUCACAAUAUGCAGGUCAAGGAUGCCUAAUUUUGGGUCAAAGGUAUUUCCUUCAUUGCUUGUUCUUAACCCGAGUCCUUUUGUUGAUAAUGUCUCUCUAACCACUCCCUGUGGAUUCAUCAUGUUGACAUCUGAAUAUAUAAGCAGGCUGCAUAAUCUAUUUAUGAAUAUAUCCACUUAAUUCCAUCUUGCUAAAUCACAAGUCAAACAACACAGCCAGGUUUGUAAUGCAGUUCUCAACAGAAAUAUGCAAAUUGAAAAUAAAUACAAUUACACUAAAAGGGAAGAGAAGGGUCAAACAUUUGAUAGGGAAGAGAGGAAACAAGAAAUGUAGGGUCAAGCUCAUUGGCAGAUGCAGUGGAUACAGCGGCUGCAGCCAUAUUCCUGGUACCACAACCACUACAGCAGGCUGUAGUAAUUAUAUUGCAUAAAGUGUUCCUUUAAGAGGACGAAAGCAAAUGAGCUUAAAAGGAGGAUUAAUGGAAUAAGGAAGAGAUUUAUGGAACAGAAAAGAAUAUGCAGGUUCUGAAUAGCACAAGUGGAAGAGUGCUGGAAUGGAUGGGGUCAGGUGAAGGUGGCCGAGGAGGUGAAUAUCAUAUUUUUGUACUAAGCCUUUAAAUGCUGAUGAUGAUAUAGUCCCUAACUUUUCUAGUUUUAUAAACCUUCUAACUAAUAAUAUGCUCCCUGUGAGAAAGCCGUGGCAUUGUCUUUAUUUGCAGGCUAAUUCAGUCAAUAUUCCAUAAAUCAAACAAAAAGUAUAAAGAAAACAAAACAAUACUAUCACCACAAUCAUGUGUGAAUAGUGUGAAAUAAUUAUGCAAUAUACUUAUGCAGUAAAUCAAGUGGACAGCCACCCAAGGAUCACUUCCCAGGUAGUGAUCUUUAAACCAGAAUACAAGCAAAAUACAUAUGGGAUACGGCUGUGGAAUCUAAAAAGUACAUAGACAAACCAUAGUGUAAUACUACUUUAACAAAUAAUGUGCGCUGUACAAAAAUGCACUCACAAGAUGUAGAUGUAUUAUGCACUCAAAGGUUGCCUCUCCCGCUGUAAUUGGGGGCCAUAUGUACAGCGCAUAUAUUUGUUUAAAUUGUAUUACACUAUGUUUUGUGUAUGUUCUUUUUAGAUUUCACAGCCGUAUCCCCAUAUGUGUUUUUCCAAUAUUCCAUAAAGCACUGAAUGAAUGCAAUAUGUGUAAAAGUAAAAGGUGUAUUAUUUCAUACUUGUGGAGAAUAAUGGAAAGAAAUGCAUAAGCAUGGCAUUCCUUAUUCUUGUAUGAAAUCUUUGUGUUCCUACAUCUAUAUUCCCUGCUACAUUUAGCUUUAUAUAACACAUUUAUAGUUUAUGUUUUGCUGCAAUAUGACUCAUCUAGUUAUUUCUCUUUAUCUGAAUGACUAUGAAUUUUUGUGAGUGAAAUAGAUGGUUCCUGUUAAAUAAUUUGCUUUUCAGCAUAGGCACACUUACAAAUAUAGUACAUCCUCUAUCUUCUAGGAGAUUUUUUAAAUUAAAUAUCAAUCGCCUUUCACAGUGUUGUCAGCACAUAAUACACAUUUUUAUUUUACAUACUUUGUGCCUCAUCUUGCUUCACUUUGUCUAAUUUUUUAGGUAUAUGCCAAUGCAUAAUAUAGAUCGCUACAUUUACAGUAUCAUACUAUAUAACUUGAUCAGGGGCAGGCUGACACUGGGUGGGUGAUCAAGGGCUCCCCCUCCUGGUUCAGGGUUUUCUGGCCCCCUACUACUCUUCUCCCUUCUUUCUGCUGCUUUCACACCGAUAUUAUGUGUACGCUGCCCAGCACACGGAAUGGCUGUGUGCGAGUCACACAACCCUGACUCCCACACCUGCAGAGCCCCCAGAAAUGGCCAGAUUUACUUUUAAGGGGUUAAUCCAACCAAAAACAGUGCCUCCCCAGCAAUUAAAAUAAAGAAAUAAAACAAAUUUAAUUACACACUUUCACUAUUUUUGCUUAAGACAUCACAAGCAGCAUCCCCCACAUGUGCAACCAUACAAGUAGCGGCAUGUGUUUGGAGUCUACUUAUGGGGUUCCGUGUGUGGGGAUGCUGCUAGUGAUGUUGUGCUCCUGUAUGUCAAAGUGUUGUUAGAAUUAAUCGUUUCUCUUGUUUUACCUACUGUACAGCGCUGUGGAAUAUGUUAGCGCUAUAUAAGAGAUUGUAAUUGUGUGUGUGUGGAGGCUGUAUGCAAUAUAGCAAUGGUGGGUAUGCUGUUUGUGAUGUGUAUGUGUAGGGAGGCUGCAUGUGGUUUUUGCGUGGGUGAAUGGGGCUACUUGCAGUGCAGUAUGUGAGUGGAGAGGACUGGUUGUGUUGCAGUGGGUGUGGGAUAGAAUCUGUAGUAGGCAUCUGGCAGUUACUGGGGCUGUAGUGUGCGCGUGUUUGGAUAAUAAAGGCUCUACUGUGUAUAAGUAGGAUAGCAGCUGUAGUGUGCGCGUGGGGGGAUAGAUGCUGAAGUAGGUGCAGGGAGACACAGGGCUGUGGUGAGUGAUGGGAGAUAUGAGGACAGAGGUGUGUGCAAGGAGGCACAGGGACUGAGGUGGGCGCGGCGAGGUUUGGGAGACUGAGGUGGGCACAGGGAGGCACAGGGGCUGUGAUAGGCGGGGGGCUGAGGUUGGUGCGGGGUUGGACAGAGUAUGAGGUGGGACAUAGAGGUUGUGGUGUGCGCAGGAGGGGACAGAGGCUGUGGUGGAUACUGAAAGGUAAAGGGGCUAUUAUAGUUAGAGGUAGCAUAAGGGCUCUGGUGGAAGCAUAGGGGCUUAGGUGAGUACAGGGAUAGGUAGAUCCUGUGGUGGGUGUUGGGAAGAAUGGUGGCUGCGGUGAGUGCAGGGAGAGCUGUGGUGAUUACAGGGUGGCUGAGGUUGGUGCAAGGAGACAGGGGGCUAAGGUGGGUACAGUGGGAGAUGUGGUGUGUGUAGGAGUAGCUGUAGUGGGUGCAGAGAGGGCUGAGGUGGGUGUAGGGGGAGCUGUGGUGAUGAGAACAGGGUGGCUGAGGUCGGUGUAGGGAGGCAGGAGGCUAAGGUGAAUAAAGGGGGGCUGAGGUGGGUGCAGGAGGAUAUGUGGUGUGUGCAGAAGGAGCUGUGGUGGGUGCAUGUAGACAAUAGGCUGUGGUGGGCACAGGGAGGUUCAUAGGGGCUGUGGUGGGUACUGGAAGGCAAAGGAGCUAUGGUAGCUGAAGUUGGCAUAGAGGCUGUGGUGGGUGCAUAGGGGCUUAGGUGGGUACAGGAAUAGGUAGAUCCUGGGGUGAGAGUAGGGAGGAACGGUGGCUGAGGUGAGUGCAGGGGAACUGAUGUGGGUGCAGGGGGAGCUGUGCUGAGUACAGGGGGCUGAGGUGGGUGCAGAGAGACAGGGGACUGAGGUGGGUGCGAGGGGAGAUGUGCUGUGUGGAGGAGGAGCUGAGGUGGAUACAGAGGUGUGUUGAGAUAGGUACAGAACGGGGCUGAGGUGGGUACAGAGGGGGGCUGAGGUGGGAGCAGAGGGAGGUGUGGUGGGUGCAGGGAGACAGGGGGUGCUAAGGUGAGUGCAAAAAAAAAUAAUCUAUAAGGAUCUUACCUGUGCAGUCUGACAGGCUGUUGCAAAUCCUUAUCUUCAGGGUGCUCUUCAGAUGAGGGCAGGAAGUGAUGUCACUUCCCAGCCCCACCUCUUUCUCCUCACACACCGCACCGCACAGAGGCUGGAGACCUGGCAGUAAAAACUGAAUGAUCGCUGCCAGGUCGUCCUGAGAAAACAGAAGCUGAUGAUUGAUAUACCUGUAUACAGGGUGAUAUGUUGCAGGGCGCCCUACAACAUAUCACUGGAAUAUGGGAGAAAUCAUGUUUUUCUGGCAUGGCUGUGCUGCCGGCCCCUGACUGUCUCUGGCCCUCGAUUCAUGACUGAUCUGCCCAACUGGUCAGUCCGCCCCUGAACUUGAUGCAGAAUAUGUAAUCCUGGGUUGAAAAAGUCGGUCUGCAUUAGACAACCCAGUUUUAGUACAUGGCUUAGAUGUUAUUCAUUUAUAAAACACUUAUAUAGUUAUAUAAUAGUCUAGGAUUGUGAUGUCAGUUGUGAAAUCUUUAACCCUUUAAGAUUCAACGAUGAUCUAAGCCAGAGGUAGGCAAUCUUCAGAGCGCCAAAUGAGAACUACAUUUCCCAUGGUGAUUUGCCAGCAUUAUUGCUGUAAGAGCAUUAUGGGAAAUGUAGUCCACAACAUCUGGAGGACCGAAGGUUGCCUCCCCCUGGUUUAUGCGAUUCAAAUAAUUUGUUCUUUAUGGAUCCUAUUCCCAUGGAAUUGAUUUUUGGAAGAUUGAAAAGAGGUGUUGAAGCUAAAUAAGUGGAACUUUAUAUUCUGGCAUUGGAUAUACAUGGACAAUAAAGUAACAGUAUAGUUUAGCAUUUGGGCCUUAAGAGGUUAAUAUACAGUACAAUUAAAAUAAAAUGAUGCUUUACAUGCAAAAUGGUUAACACAAGUUCUAGGUGAUUUUCAAUGUUUUACUUAAUAGUGCAAUUUCCCUUCUAAUUCUUUUGACAGUCAGCCUACCAUUAGAAUACUUUAUUUCAAUUAGGUUAUUAAAAUAUAUAAUAAAAGCGUGCACUAUUUCAUGCAGUCAAGCAGUAAACCGUUUAGACGUCUCCUUUUAAUUCCUUUCAUUCUACCAAAUAAUAUUUUGUCUGUUUUAUUUUUUAGUGUUGCGUUCGGAAAGCCUGAGCUCCAAGAAAGAAGCAAAUGAUUGAACAAUGACAAUUUAACCACUUAUUGUUAUUAUUAUUAUACUAUUAAAAUCCUUAUUAGUGACAAAUCGG